UACAGAGGUGGCAAGCGUUGUUCGGAAUUACUGGGCGUAAAGGGCGCGUAGGCGGCCUUCUAAGUCGAACGUGAAAUCCCCGGGCUCAACCCGGGAACUGCGUCCGAUACUGGAAGGCUUGAAUCCGGGAGAGGGAUGCGGAAUUCCAGGUGUAGCGGUGAAAUGCGUAGAUAUCUGGAGGAACACCGGUGGCGAAGGCGGCAUCCUGGACCGACAUUGACGCUGAACGGCGAAAGCUAGGGGAGCAAACGGG
Molecule: ribosomal RNA, 253 nt
Filed under: uncultured bacterium
Lineage: Bacteria
Description: partial 16S ribosomal RNA
Rfam family: Bacterial small subunit ribosomal RNA
Source: RNAcentral